Molecule: ribosomal RNA, 560 nt
Filed under: Thraustochytrium sp.
Lineage: Eukaryota; Bigyra; Thraustochytrida; Thraustochytriidae
Description: SSU rRNA
Rfam family: Eukaryotic small subunit ribosomal RNA
Source: RNAcentral
CAUGCAUGUGUAAGUAUAAGCGAUUGUACUGUGAGACUGCGAACGGCUCAUUAUAUCAGUAAUAAUUUCUUCGGUAGUUUCUUUUAUAUGGAUACCUGCAGUAAUUCUGGAAAUAAUACAUGCUGUAAGAGCCCUGUAUGGGGCUGCACUUAUUAGAUUGAAGCCGAUUUUAUUGGUGAAUCAUGAUAAUUGAGCAGAUUGACUUUUUUGGUCGAUGAAUCGUUUGAGUUUCUGCCCCAUCAGUUGUCGACGGUAGUGUAUUGGACUACGGGGACUAUAACGGGGGACGGAAAGUUAGGGCUCGACUCCGGAAAGGGAGCCUGAAAGACGGCUACCAUAUCCAAGGAUAGCAGCAGGGGCGUAAAUUACCCACUGGGGACUCCACGAGGUAGUGACAAAAAAUAUCGAUGCGAAGCGGGUAUGCGUUUUGCUAUCGGAAUGAAAGCAAUGUAAAACCCUCAUCGAGGAUCAACUGGAGGGCAAGUCUGGGGCCAGCAGCCGCGGUAAUUCCAGCUCCAAAAGCAUAUGCUAAAGUUGUUGCAGUUAAAAAGCUCGUAGUU